This 404-nucleotide ribosomal RNA is filed under the name Clostridioides difficile. Its description in RNAcentral is "bacterial SSU rRNA". It matches the Rfam family "Bacterial small subunit ribosomal RNA", at positions 217 to 639 of the family's 1533-position model. Lineage: Bacteria; Bacillati; Bacillota; Clostridia; Peptostreptococcales; Peptostreptococcaceae. The record is from RNAcentral.
AGUACAGGAUGGACCCGCGUCUGAUUAGCUAGUUGGUAAGGUAACGGCUUACCAAGGCGACGAUCAGUAGCCGACCUGAGAGGGUGAUCGGCCACAUUGGAACUGAGACACGGUCCAAACUCCUACGGGAGGCAGCAGUGGGGAAUAUUGCACAAUGGGCGAAAGCCUGAUGCAGCAACGCCGCGUGAGUGAUGAAGGCCUUCGGGUCGUAAAACUCUGUCCUCAAGGAAGAUAAUGACGGUACUUGAGGAGGAAGCCCCGGCUAACUACGUGCCAGCAGCCGCGGUAAUACGUAGGGGGCUAGCGUUAUCCGGAUUUACUGGGCGUAAAGGGUGCGUAGGCGGUCUUUCAAGUCAGGAGUGAAAGGCUACGGCUCAACCGUAGUAAGCUCUUGAAACUGGGAG